AAGUCGUAACAAGGUUUCCGUAGCAAGAUUCUUCUUAGCGAAGCCUGACGCGGCGACUAUAAACAAGUGCGCGGUCUGCUCUGCAGGCGACACCGUCACAAUGCCUGGGAUCAAGGGCAAUGCCCCACGACCAGCAAACCAGUCCCUGGACUGGUCCACAGAUUAAACAGCGGUGGUUGAUAAAAGUUGGACGUGCUUGAUUUUGACCGUCCAUUGUCAACUAAGAUAUAUUCGGCCAGGGGUCUAAUGACCCCUGAAACUGCGUUCCGUAGGUGAACCUGCGGAAGGAUCAUUACCGAGCGAGGGUCGCAAGGCCCGAACCUCCCACCCAUGUGUAUCGACCUCUGUUGCUUCGGUGGACCCGCGGGCGUCGCCCGCCACCGGCCUCGGCCGGUCCGCGUCCACCAGAGGCCCUGUCAACUCGUCCAUGUUGCGGUCCAAGUAUAACAUCAAUAAUCAAAACUUUCAACAACGGAUCUCUUGGUUCUGGCAUCGAUGAAGAACGCAGCGAAAUGCGAUAAGUAAUGUGAAUUGCAGAAUUCAGUGAAUCAUCGAAUCUUUGAACGCACAUUGCGCCCCUUGGUAUUCCGAGGGGCAUGCCUGUUCGAGCGUCAUUGUCAACCUCAAGCUUGGCUUGGUGUUGGGCCUCCGUCCGGUCGCGACGGGCCCGAAACGCAGUGGCGACCCCGCCGGAUCUCGGGCGUAGUAAAGCAUCACGCUUGGGGGUCCGACGGCCGGUCCGCCGAACCACAUCAUCACACGUUUGACCUCGGAUCAGGUAGGGAUACUCGCUGAACUUAA
RNAcentral lists this ribosomal RNA (801 nucleotides) under uncultured fungus. Its description in RNAcentral is "eukaryotic LSU rRNA". The stretch from base 461 to 614 matches the Rfam family "5.8S ribosomal RNA". Lineage: Eukaryota; Fungi. The record is from RNAcentral.